Molecule: ribosomal RNA, 494 nt
Filed under: uncultured bacterium
Lineage: Bacteria
Description: partial 16S ribosomal RNA
Rfam family: Bacterial small subunit ribosomal RNA
Source: RNAcentral
GACGAACGCUGGCGGCGUGCUUAACACAUGCAAGUCGAACGGAAAGGCCUGCUUUCCCUUGUGGAUUGCGGGUACUCGAGUGGCGAACGGGUGAGUAACACGUGAGUGAUCUGCCCCCAACUUGGGUAUAAGCCUGGGAAACUGGGUCUAAUUCCCGAUAGGACUGCAGGGUGGUGCCUGUGGUGGAAAACGAUUUUCUAGUGGUUGGGGAUGAGCUCGCGGCCUAUCAGCUUGUUGGUGGGGUAAUGGCCUACCAAGGCGGCGACGGGUAGCCGGCCUGGGAGGGUGGACGGCCGCAUUGGGACUGAGGUACGGCCCAGACUCCUACGGGAGGCAGCAGUGGGGAAUAUUGCACAAUGGGCGGAAGCCUGAUGCAGCGACGCCGCGUGGGGGAUGACGGCCUUCGGGUUGUAAACUCCUUUCGACCGCGAGGAAGCCACCUGGUUGGAAGGGUGGUGACGGUAGUGGUAGAAGAAGCACCGGCUAACUACGUG